GAUGAACGCUGGCGGCGUGCCUAAUACAUGCAAGUCGAGCGAACGGACGAGAAGCUUGCUUCUCUGAUGUUAGCGGCGGACGGGUGAGUAACACGUGGAUAACCUACCUAUAAGACUGGGAUAACUUCGGGAAACCGGAGCUAAUACCGGAUGAUAUUUUGAACCGCAUGGUUCAAAAGUGAAAGACGGUCUUGCUGUCACUUAUAGAUGGAUCCGCGCUGCAUUAGCUAGUUGGUAAGGUAACGGCUUACCAAGGCAACGAUGCAUAGCCGACCUGAGAGGGUGAUCGGCCACACGGGAACUGAGACACGGUCCAGGCUCCUACGGGAGGCAGCAGUAGGGAAUCUUCCGCAAUGGGCGAAAGCCUGACGGAGCAACGCCGCGUGAGUGAUGAAGGUCUUCGGAUCGUAAAACUCUGUUAUUAGGGAAGAACAUAUGUGUAAGUAACUGUGCACAUCUUGACGGUACCUAAUCAGAAAGCCACGGCUAACUCCGUG
This 497-nucleotide ribosomal RNA is filed under the name uncultured bacterium. RNAcentral's name for it is "partial 16S ribosomal RNA". It matches the Rfam family "Bacterial small subunit ribosomal RNA", at positions 28 to 507 of the family's 1533-position model. The record is from RNAcentral.